GCGCCCUUAGUUCAAUGGAUAGAGCGUCUGACUUCGGAUCAGAAUGUUGGGGGUUCGAAUCCCUCAGGGCGUGCCA
Molecule: transfer RNA, 76 nt
Filed under: Clostridiales bacterium
Lineage: Bacteria; Bacillati; Bacillota; Clostridia; Eubacteriales
Also listed under: 3 other names
Description: tRNA-Arg
Rfam family: tRNA
About the family: Transfer RNA (tRNA) molecules are approximately 80 nucleotides in length.
Source: RNAcentral